CAAGCGUAUUCCGAAAAGCUUAUAGAGUAGGAG
This is a non-coding RNA of Bacteroidetes bacterium 43-16, 33 nucleotides long. The record is from Rfam. Lineage: Bacteria; Pseudomonadati; Bacteroidota.